ACUACUUGGAUAACCGUGGUAAUUCUAGAGCUAAUACAUGCUAAAAAUCCCGACUUCGGAAGGGAUGUAUUUAUUAGAUUAAAAACCAAUGCCCUCUGGGCUCCUUGGUGAUUCAUGAUAACUCUUCGAAUCGCACGGCCUUGCGCCGGCGAUGGUUCAUUCAAAUUUCUUCCCUAUCAACUUUCGAUGUUUGGGUCUUGGCCAAACAUGGUCGCAACGGGUAACGGAGGGUUAGGGCUCGACCCCGGAGAAGGAGCCUGAGAAACGGCUACUACAUCCAAGGAAGGCAGCAGGCGCGCAAAUUACCCAAUCCCGAUUCGGGGAGGUAGUGACAAUAAAUACUGAUACAGGGCUCUUUUGGGUCUUGUAAUUGGAAUGAGUACAAUUUAAAUCCCUUAACGAGGAACAAUUGGAGGGCAAGUCUGGUGCCAGCAGCCGCGGUAAUUCCAGCUCCAAUAGCGUAUAUUAAAGUUGUUGUGGUUAAAAAGCUCGUAGUUGAACCUUGGGCCUGGCUGGCCGGUCCGCCUCACCGCGUGUACUGGUCCGGCCGGGCCUUUCCCUCUGUGGAACCCCAUGCCCUUCACUGGGUGUGGCGGGGAAACAGGACUUUUACUUUGAAAAAAUUAGAGUGCUCCAGGCAGGCCUAUGCUCGAAUACAUUAGCAUGGAAUAAUGAAAUAGGACGCGUGGUUCUAUUUUGUUGGUUUCUAGGACCGCCGUAAUGAUUAAUAGGGACAGUCGGGGGCAUCAGUAUUCAAUUGUCAGAGGUGAAAUUCUUGGAUUUAUUGAAGACUAACUACUGCGAAAGCAUUUGCCAAGGAUGUUUUCAUUAAUCAGGAACGAAAGUUAGGGGAUCGAAGACGAUCAGAUACCGUCGUAGUCUUAACCAUAAACUAUGCCGACUAGGGAUCGGACGAUGUUAUUUUUUGACGCGUUCGGCACCUUACGAGAAAUCAAAGUGCUUGGGCUCCAGGGGGAG
This 978-nucleotide ribosomal RNA is filed under the name Cordyceps ninchukispora. RNAcentral describes it as "SSU rRNA". It matches the Rfam family "Eukaryotic small subunit ribosomal RNA", at positions 134 to 1123 of the family's 1831-position model. The record is from RNAcentral. Lineage: Eukaryota; Fungi; Ascomycota; Sordariomycetes; Hypocreales; Cordycipitaceae.